CGAGGAAAAGGAGUCCACCGAGUCUGCUUCCAUUCACCGGUUCUUCCGCAAAGCAUCUCCUUUCCCUCGAUUCCUUCCUGUUCUCCCGCAGAAAGAUUUCCGACCCCCUCCUAGGUCUCUCGUUCUCGUUAUGGAUAAGGAGUACGACGUCAUCGUCCUAGGGACUGGGCUCAAGGAAUGCAUCCUCAGCGGCCUGCCGUCCGUCGAUGGCCUCAAGCUCUGGAAAAGGUUUAGGGGCAGUGAUAAGCCCCCCAGCACUUUUGGGUUCCAGCAGAGAGUACAAUGUUGACAUGAUUCCAAAGGUAUCUUUUCUGCUGUUCUUAUUCCCACAAUGUUGUCCCAAAAUGGAAGUUCAUUGCUUUUGUCUCAACUGAAGCUGAGACUGACCAUCCAGAUAUAGAACUAAAGGCAGGAAUUGAUCUUCUGGGACGAGUAGAUGAAUUAUUUUUUGAUACUUAUGACGGAUAUGAACCAGUCAACGACCCUUCACUUGAUAAUUGCUUCAUUUCAACUAGCUAUGAUGCUACAACUCAUUUUGAAUCAACUGUUGUGGAUGUUCUUUCUAUGUAUACCAAGAUCACUGGAAGGUUUGCAAUGCUACACGAUUUGCUACCAGGAUGAUCCACUGCUCGAUGAGGUAAGAGGUUCACUGUAUCCAUCAAAUUUCAUUUUAUAAUGCAUUGCAAAAGUGGAUCAGAAUGUGGAAUUUUGGAUUAUCAGCAUCAUAGCUCCCUUUCCCGCCUCUACUAGGUGUAGCAACAUAUUAUGUUGCAAUAUGUAGUUUACCUAUUGAUUAGCUUCUAUCAUGUAUUGACAAUGUUGACUAAUAUCAUAUAUUGAGAGCAAUACUAUUCCUGGGUUCCAUAAAUUGAUGCUAUUGAUCUCUAGACACUGGCACUUCCUGAGGCAUCACAUAUCAUGCAUUGUAAUAUCUACCAAUAUUAUAUGCUGAAGGAGCAAUAUUCACCAUAACCGCCUCCUAAGGCACCGCAAAUUAGGUUUUGGUAUCAGUAGGGGGAGGAUGAUGCAUCUUCUACUCAACUUGUGAAUAUCAAAGUUUUUAUUCUCGGUCUCAAACUCUCAUGUAUGAUUGAACUUGUAUGCUAACUUUAGAAUUUUUAUGUUUUACAUAUGUUCUUUUCCUGGUAUGUUUAUUAAUAGGUCAUGGGUAAAUGUAAAAGGUCACAUACUUAUACUCACCAAAACACGGUCCAAUCGUCCAACCACCAACUGGUUAAUAUCAGACGGUUGUCCGAAUCAUAGAAUGUGGGUGAUGUCAGAGUUGAUUCCAAAAACUUCAUCCAAGGUUGAAUCCAUGAGUAUUUGUUGCAAGGAUUGGUCAGAGACUUUUGAUCUCAGCAUAGAUCUAAGUGCUGCUGAAGAAUGAUGACUGCAUCCAGGGUAUAUGACAGGAAAGUUCUCAUCUCAGUAUUUUUCAUCAUAUGAUCAUAUCAAUAUAGCAUUCUAUUUGAAGCUGAAUGGAUCUGCAAUGAUGAUAUGUGCUUCUUGAAUAUAUUCUCCCUGAACAUAGCAUAGCUAUUAAGUUAACAUUGUACAUUAAGAUUCAUUGUUUUUGAUGGGUUUCACUGUUGUCAAGGUUGUAUCAGAGAUGGAUUAUGCUAUAGAAGAAUGAUGUUUCUCUCCUGUGUUC
This is a non-coding RNA of Musa acuminata subsp. malaccensis (wild Malaysian banana), 1651 nucleotides long. The record is from RefSeq and is a predicted model, not a curated record. NCBI's taxonomy places the organism in Eukaryota, Viridiplantae, Streptophyta, Magnoliopsida, Zingiberales, Musaceae.